Molecule: microRNA precursor, 103 nt
Filed under: Marmota monax (woodchuck)
Lineage: Eukaryota; Metazoa; Chordata; Mammalia; Rodentia; Sciuridae
Source: RNAcentral
AAUGUGAUAACUGGGUCAAAUUGUGGUUCCCUUCCAAGUUUUCUGAGGAAUCUCCAUACUCCUUUCUAGAGUGAUUGCAAAAAUUUGCCAUCCCACUAGUAAU